GACGAACGCUGGCGGCGUGCCUAAUACAUGCAAGUCGAACGCUUCUUUCCUCCCGAGUGCUUGCACUCAGUUGGAAAGAGGAGUGGCGGACGGGUGAGUAACACGUGGGUAACCUACCCAUCAGAGGGGGAUAACACUUGGAAACAGGUGCUAAUACCGCAUAACAGUUUAUGCCGCAUGGCACAAGAGUGAAAGGCGCUUUCGGGUGUCGCUGAUGGAUGGACCCGCGGUGCAUUAGCUAGUUGGUGAGGUAACGGCUCACCAAGGCCACGAUGCAUAGCCGACCUGAGAGGGUGAUCGGCCACACUGGGACUGAGACACGGCCCAGACUCCUACGGGAGGCAGCAGGAGGGAAUCUUCGGCAAUGGACGGAAGUCUGACCGAGCAACGCCGCGUGAGUGAAGAAGGUUUUCGGAUCGUAAAACUCUGUUGUUAGAGAAGAACAAGGACGUUAGUAACUGAACGUCCCCUGACGGUAUCUAACCAGAAAGCCACGGCUAACUACGUGCCAGCAGCCGCCGUAA
This 524-nucleotide ribosomal RNA is filed under the name uncultured bacterium. RNAcentral describes it as "partial 16S ribosomal RNA". It matches the Rfam family "Bacterial small subunit ribosomal RNA", at positions 28 to 523 of the family's 1533-position model. The record is from RNAcentral.